GACGAACGCUGGCGGCGUGCCUAAUACAUGCAAGUCGAACGGAGGGGGGACGGGUGAGUAAAACGUGGGUAACCUCCCAUCAGAGGGGAUAACACUUGGAAACAGGUGCUAAACUGCUACUGAUGGAUGGACACGCAGGGCAUUAGCUAGUUGGUGAGGUAACGGCUCACCAAGGCCACGAUGCAUAGCCGACCUGAGAGGAUGAUCAGCCACACUGGGACUGAGACACGGCCCAGACUCCGACGGGAGGCAGCAGUAGGGAAUCUUGGGCAAUGGACGAAAGUCUGACCGAGCAACGCCGCGUGAGUGAAGAAGGUUUUCGGAUCGUAAAGCUCUGUUGUUAGAGAAGCGGUAUCUAACCAGAAAGCCACGGCUAACUACGUGCCAGCAGCCGCGGUAAUAC
This 403-nucleotide ribosomal RNA is filed under the name uncultured bacterium. RNAcentral's name for it is "partial 16S ribosomal RNA". It matches the Rfam family "Bacterial small subunit ribosomal RNA", at positions 28 to 526 of the family's 1533-position model. The record is from RNAcentral.